This 278-nucleotide long non-coding RNA is filed under the name Elaeis guineensis (African oil palm). Its description in RNAcentral is "long non-coding RNA (EGUI_LNC080921)". The record is from RNAcentral. Lineage: Eukaryota; Viridiplantae; Streptophyta; Magnoliopsida; Arecales; Arecaceae.
UCCGAAGGUCUUCUUUCCUUUUUUUCUCUUAUUUAUACCACCUUUAGGGUUCAGCCUCCUUUUAGAACCCUUUUUGCCUGCCUUCUUCUUGGAGAUCCCAUCCACAAGAAGAAGAGGAGCCUUAUCCUUCUUGAUAUGGCUCUCUGCUGUCUUGAGCAUAUUUAACAGCUCAGGCAAGGAAGAAUUCAGUUUGUUCAUGUGAUAGUUCAUGACAAACUGAGAAAAUGAUUCUGGGAGUGAUUGCAGGAUUAGAUCCUGACUCAACUCUCCAUCCAUAA